RNAcentral lists this ribosomal RNA (743 nucleotides) under uncultured Capnocytophaga sp. RNAcentral's name for it is "bacterial SSU rRNA". It matches the Rfam family "Bacterial small subunit ribosomal RNA", at positions 28 to 776 of the family's 1533-position model. The record is from RNAcentral. Lineage: Bacteria; Pseudomonadati; Bacteroidota; Flavobacteriia; Flavobacteriales; Flavobacteriaceae.
GAUGAACGCUAGCGGCAGGCCUAACACAUGCAAGUCGAGGGAGAAGCCCUCGGGCUGAAACCGGCGCACGGGUGCGUAACGCGUAUACAAUCUGCCUUUCACAUAGGGAUAGCCCGAAGAAAUUUGGAUUAAUACCUAAUGGCAUAUAAGAGCGGCAUCGUUUUUAUAUUAAAGCUACGGUGGUGAAAGAUGAGUAUGCGUUCUAUUAGCUAGUUGGAGAGGUAACGGCUCCCCAAGGCGACGAUAGAUAGGGGUUCUGAGAGGGAUGUCCCCCACACUGGUACUGAGAUACGGACCAGACUCCUACGGGAGGCAGCAGUGAGGAAUAUUGGACAAUGGUCGGAAGACUGAUCCAGCCAUGCCGCGUGCAGGAUGAAGGUCCUAUGGAUUGUAAACUGCUUUUGUAAGGGAAGAAUAAGGAGUACGUGUACUUUGAUGACGGUACCUUACGAAUAAGCAUCGGCUAACUCCGUGCCAGCAGCCGCGGUAAUACGGAGGAUGCGAGCGUUAUCCGGAAUCAUUGGGUUUAAAGGGUCCGUAGGCGGGCUGAUAAGUCAGAGGUGAAAGCGCUUAGCUCAACUAAGCAACUGCCUUUGAAACUGUCAGUCUUGAAUGAUUGUGAAGUAGUUGGAAUGUGUAGUGUAGCGGUGAAAUGCUUAGAUAUUACACAGAACACCGAUAGCGAAGGCAUAUUACUAACAAUUUAUUGACGCUGAUGGACGAAAGCGUGGGGAGCGAACAGG